Molecule: long non-coding RNA, 541 nt
Filed under: Ananas comosus (pineapple)
Lineage: Eukaryota; Viridiplantae; Streptophyta; Magnoliopsida; Poales; Bromeliaceae
Description: long non-coding RNA (ACOM_LNC004834)
Source: RNAcentral
AAAAUAGAUAAUCAUUCAUCGUAUAAGACUAGUUUUAUAAAUAAAUUUUUUGAAGAACUAUUUUUUCAAUAAUAAAAAAAAGAAUUACACUGUCCUCUACUACUCUAAUCAGAGUACCCUAUCUUAUCUUAGACUUCUUCAAUCGGUGACCCUUCACAUUCCAUCCAAAUACUUUAUUUUUAGAAUACUAAUAAGGAAGAACUUCAAAUACCAUUCAUGUGGUUUCGUAUUUUCUCACUUUAAUACUCCGUGAUUUAAAGUGUAUUAAUUUAAUAUUCUGUGAUUUUAUUUUUCUCUUUUUAUUAUCUAUUUUACUAAUUUUUUUGUAAAAUCAAUGAUGAAGUUAAAACUAAGGGUACUAAAAUUAAUAUUCGAUAAAUCUAAGUGCGGUAUCUAAAACUUUUUAUAUAUAAUUUAAUAAAAUAUUAACGAAAGUGCUGACGAAAAGAUAAAAAUAAAGACACAGAAUACUAAUUUGAUAUACUUUAAAUCACAAAAUAUUAAAAUAAGAAAGUGCGAAACUAUAUGUGGUUUGGGAGAU